This 959-nucleotide long non-coding RNA is filed under the name Numida meleagris (helmeted guineafowl). Its description in RNAcentral is "lncRNA (ENSNMEG00000000713.1)". The record is from RNAcentral. Lineage: Eukaryota; Metazoa; Chordata; Aves; Galliformes; Numididae.
GGGAGCGGCGGCCGUCGGGGCUGUGGAUGGGGCCGUUGCUAGGGACGUAGCAUCCGUUUGUUCCGUUGCUAGGGGCGUUGCUAGGGGCGUUGCUAGGGGAGCGGCGGCCGUCGGGGCCGUUGCUAGGGGCGUAGCAUCCGUUUGUUCCGUUGCUAGGGGCGUUGCUAAGGGCAUCCGUGUUCCAGGGCCCGUUGCUAGGGGCGUUGCCAUGGAUAUCGGUGUUCCUGGGUCCGUUGCUAGGGGCGUUGCUAAGGGCAUCCGUGGUCCAGGGUCGGUUGCUAGGGCCGUUGCCAUGGAUAUUGGUGUUCUUGGGUCGGUUGCUAAGGGCAUCCGUGUUCCUGGGUCCGUUGCUAGGGCCAUUGCCAUGGAUAUCAGUGUUCCUGGGUCCGUUGCUAGGGGCGUUGCUAAGGGCAUCCAUGGUCCAGGGUCGGUUGCUAGGGCCGUUGCCAUGGAUAUUGGUGUUCCUGGGUCCGUUGCUAGGGCCGUUGCUAAGAGCAUCCCUGCUGCUAGGACUGUUGCCAUGGGGACCGCUCCAUCCAUCACCGGGUCCGUUGCCAUGGGAACCACUCCAUCCAUCUCCAAGGCCGUUGCUAUGGGGACCACUCCAUCCAUCCCUGGGCCCGUUGCCAUGGGGACCGCUCGAUCCAUCACCGGGACCGUCGCCACGGGGACCCCCGGGCCCCUCUCCGGGGCCGUUGCCAUGGAGACCGCGCCCCCCCCCACCCCGAGGUCGGUCGCUAAGGGCGGCGGGGCGGUUUCGUCGGGCCCUGGCCAGCAGGCUGUCGCAUUCCACCACGGUGUAGCGCAGCUCGGCGUAGACGUAGGUGGCCCCCCGGCGCGGCACCCAGGUGGAACGCAGCCAGCUGUUCUGGGGGGGGCCGGGGGGGUGCAACCCCGAGCAAACCUCGAACGUCCUCACCGCCGUCUGCCGCUCCUCGUCCAGCCCGCUCAGCUCCUCC